RNAcentral lists this ribosomal RNA (216 nucleotides) under Glomeromycotina sp. Its description in RNAcentral is "partial small subunit ribosomal RNA". The stretch from base 40 to 216 matches the Rfam family "Eukaryotic small subunit ribosomal RNA", at positions 686 to 864 of the family's 1831-position model. Lineage: Eukaryota; Fungi; Glomeromycota. The record is from RNAcentral.
GGGUCAGUAGGUUGGACGUGCCACCGGUACGUACUGGUCUCACUGAUUCCUCCUUCCUGAAGAACCGUUAUGCCAUUAAUUUGGUGUUGCGGGGAAUCAGGACUGUUACUUUGAAAAAAUUAGAGUGUUUAAAGCAAGCUAACGCUUGAAUACAUUAGCAUGGAAUAAUGAAAUAGGACGAUCGAUCCUAUUUUGUUGGUUUCUAGGAUUGACGUA